This 76-nucleotide small RNA is filed under the name Flavobacterium sp. 5. Its description in RNAcentral is "Flavo-1 RNA". It matches the Rfam family "Flavo-1 RNA". Lineage: Bacteria; Pseudomonadati; Bacteroidota; Flavobacteriia; Flavobacteriales; Flavobacteriaceae. The record is from RNAcentral.
AUCUAGCCCUGAUGGAAACGGCAUCCUUUUAUGGAGGGGUUCGCCAUAAAAGAUAUAGUGUACAGCAGGUUGAAUG